This 78-nucleotide microRNA precursor is filed under the name Trichobilharzia regenti. RNAcentral's name for it is "mir-3492 microRNA precursor family". It matches the Rfam family "mir-3492 microRNA precursor family". The record is from Rfam by way of RNAcentral. Lineage: Eukaryota; Metazoa; Platyhelminthes; Trematoda; Strigeidida; Schistosomatidae.
AGCCACCUGUAUCCGUGCUGAGAUUUCGUCAGAGAUGAGCCCGUUGAGGCUGAUGGUACUUCACAAAUAAAUGAAGCU